Molecule: long non-coding RNA, 411 nt
Organism: Candoia aspera
Lineage: Eukaryota; Metazoa; Chordata; Lepidosauria; Squamata; Candoiidae
Exons: 4
Source: RefSeq, a predicted model, not a curated record
AAUGUUGGGAAGGGUCUAAAAUAGAACUGACUGUUACUCCAGCCAAUGAAAAGUUGCUUUUGCAUACUGUUGUUGAGCUGAGAGAAGAAGGCUUGCAGCCUACUGCCCUUGAGGACUGAUGGAUAUCCAGAAGACUACAGAUAUAUACCAUUGCAAUGCUAGCGAAAAGCCAUGUGCUAUUCAACCAACUUUGCCUGGUUCUCCUGUGCAACAGAGAACUUUGAAGAAGCAGCUCAGUAGUUCUUCUCUCUCCGUUUCUAUGUCUCACAGAGGAUUGUCUCCAAAAUUCAAGGAUCUCCUAAAGAAAGACCAAGGAAUAGAAUCAAAGGGGGAGAAAAGUGAAUCAAAAGCAAGUGCCAACUAUGCUCCUAGCUCUCAACUUCCCAGGUAACUAUUCAGGAACUCUAAAGG